CUCAACAAACCCGGGAGGGUGGCUCUUGCGCAAUCCGUUCUCACGGCCAUGGCAACCUUCCACAUCACCGCCCUUAACCUGUCAAAGGGGACCCUGCGAAAGAUUGGCAAAAUCAUUCGGGCCUUCGUCUGGCAGAAAGAGGACCAAACUCAGACAUCGGGUGGCCACUCGUUUGUUAACUGGAAGACUGUCUGCCGCCCCAGGCAUUUGGGCGGCUUGGGAAUCAUGGACCUAGAGAGAUUCGGCCGCGCCCUACGUCUACGGUGGCCGUGGCUGCAAUGGACUGACCCAGAGAGGCCAUGGGUGGGAUCCGAGUUACCAUGUGACCAAGGAGACAUGAACCUCUUUCGCGCAUGCACCUUGAUUACGCUGGGCAAUGGGCAAAAGGCCCUCUUCUGGCAGGACAACUGGACCGGAAGCGCCCCCCUCAGGCUUGUGGCUCUAGAGCUUUACAAGAUCACCUCCAGAAAGAACAGAUCGGUGCACAAAGAACUCACGAACGAGAACUGGAUAAAGGCGGUCGCCAAACUUUAG
Molecule: ribosomal RNA, 534 nt
Filed under: Triticum aestivum (bread wheat)
Lineage: Eukaryota; Viridiplantae; Streptophyta; Magnoliopsida; Poales; Poaceae
Description: partial small subunit ribosomal RNA
Source: RNAcentral